Molecule: long non-coding RNA, 341 nt
Filed under: Homo sapiens (human)
Lineage: Eukaryota; Metazoa; Chordata; Mammalia; Primates; Hominidae
Description: long non-coding RNA NONHSAT129712.2
Source: RNAcentral
GGACGGCCCUAAGUGACACCUCCCAACAGGACAUCACGAGUGGUUGCUUGGACCUGAGGUGGACAUUCUCCCCUUUUUGCUCCUGCCCUUGGCUGGGCCUGAGGAUUUCUCCGAGGAAGAGAUGGAACGGCUGCCUGUCGACUUGCAGUACCUGCCACCAGACAAGCAGCGAGAACCUGAUGCAGACAUCCGCAAGAUGCUUGUUGAAGCCAUCAUGCUGCUGACAGCCACAGCACCAGGUCGGCAGCAGGUGCGGGACCAGGGAGCCUACCUGAUCCUUCGAGAGCUGCACAGCUGGGAGCCGGAGCCCGACGUGCGGACGGCUUGUGAGAAGCUCAUCC